Long non-coding RNA from Panicum virgatum (switchgrass), 1716 nucleotides. RefSeq lists it as uncharacterized. The transcript is spliced from 2 exons. Lineage: Eukaryota; Viridiplantae; Streptophyta; Magnoliopsida; Poales; Poaceae. The record is from RefSeq and is a predicted model, not a curated record.
CCUUUGAUCCCCUUUUAACAGCUAUGGACUCCAACCCAGAUCGCCCGUGCGAGUACAUAUCUUUCCGUUUCCUUCCCGUCUCUGCGUCGUGUGAGCAUGAUCUUUUGAUUGUCCCUGCGUGUGUGCUCGCUAGAUUUGUGGUUAAUAAAGCGUGGAUCCGGUUGUUUCGAAGGGGGGGGGGGGGGGGAUUCGCGUGUCGUGACCAUUGCGAGCCCUAGAUUCAGGGCAAAUUUUGGGUGCGAUACAGCAGGGUCAGAUUCCUCUGUUCAGCUUAGGGCCAUCGAGUCCUGCUUUGAGUCAGAUGCUAAGUAAUUUUGGGUUGCGAUGUGGGUCAGGUCAAAUUGUUCUGGAUUUCCGGGCCAUGCUUUGUUACAUGUUUGCCUGUUUUUUUUUUCUUUUCGCUAAAGUUGUGCUCUAUGUUAAUCUCAAAGCCCUUGCUCUGUGCUGAGCUUUAUCUUACUGGGUUGUGCUCUAUUCUUGUGUGGCUUGUACAGCUAAUUAUUGUUGUGUACUCUGACGUUGCUCAAUGAUUCCUUGGACCAUGGGAGACUGGACAGUGCUCUACAUGCACGAGUCUUCACAAAUUGAGUGCCGACAAUGAAUAGAUAUCUUAAUGCAUUGAAGUUCGCGUACGUUGGUCAGUUCAUAUGCUAUAUGCUGAGAUGAUGUUCUUUCAUUGUAUCUUUGUACUUGUUGGAUGAGUUAGUGGGUGUAUUACACAUGCAGAUUCAUUUUCUGGGACUAUGGCUGUAUAGCCAGAAACAACCCUUGCAUAUGUGUCGUUUUUUAAUAGUAGGUGCUCACCACAUAGUCCUUUUUAGGCUUACAAGUUUCCCUAGUCAUUUCAUUUCCAGCAGAAAAGGCUCAGUUUUCCUAGAAAUCACAAUGAGAUGACUGGUCGAUAUGUUCUUGAAUGGAGUAGCCGCAGGUUUGAGUAGGAUUAUGGAUGCAUUUUCAAAUCAUGGACUAUGUCAUGUGUAGGAAAUUGGUGGCAUUCUUAUUUAUUGUAUAAGUUUGCCAGGUGUGAAAUAUGAUUGUGGAUGUAAGAUUGCCAUAUUGACUGAGAUACUGAUUUUUUUUCUUGAGUUUUGAUGCUGGGGGUUUUGUAGAUGUAAGGAUUCAGUUGAUAGUUGGCCAUAGAACUGUGUUAUAUACCAAGUGUUAGGUCCGUUGAUGCGUCAUGCAUGAGAUCAUAGCCUUGGGUAGCAACAGUGUUACCCUAAACGUUUAAAUGGACUAAACGGUCACCUACUGUUUAGCUAUUUAUUCGGGCUAAAUGGCCAUUUAAACGGACUAAACGAUGAUUAAACAGGAUAAAUGGCUGAUUAAACGGACACGGUAAGCCACUGUGUAGUGUGUACAUGGGCUAAACGGACGUGUGCGCAAACAGUGGGUAGCAAGUAGUUUAGUAAAUAGUCAGUCCACUUCUUCAUUACUUUAAAAAUAAAUUAGUCUUGUUUGUAUUGUAAGAUUUUCGACAUAGUAAUUUGGUCGCUUUCCUAUAGCUACCAACUUGUUCAAGCUGAUGCAGUCGGCUAUCCUUUGGAUGUCAUCUUCUUAUUUCUCGAUAUUCCUUUUUAUUUCUCAUCAAACGAAUGGCAUCUUCUUCUGGAAAUCCUAGCUAUUCUUAGCAUGAUAUUGGGGAAUCUCCUUGCUAUUACUCAAACAAGCAUGAAACGUAUGCUUGCAUAUUCGUCCAUAGGGCAAAUUGGAUAU